Molecule: long non-coding RNA, 1235 nt
Organism: Homo sapiens (human)
Lineage: Eukaryota; Metazoa; Chordata; Mammalia; Primates; Hominidae
Exons: 3
Source: RefSeq, a predicted model, not a curated record
CACGUGGCUCUUCUAGACUCUGGAGGCUUUUGCCAUCACAAAUGAAAACGAAGGCAGAUGCUAUCAGUCAGAAGCAAGAAGAGAAAGGUGUGAGGACAACAUGAGAGGGUGCCGCAGGGACUGUCCCUGUCCAGGUAAAGGCUCUAUGGAGGGCAUAGAAGAUACAUGGCACCCUGCAGGGCAGGACAUUCUGAACACCAUGAAAGCAACAUUAUAGAUAGUUCCAGCCUUGGUGGAAUUUAAUGCAGAAGAGAUGACAUGUCAGAGUGACUGGAGCAUGAGGCGAUCGUAUGCACACGAUGAAGCUUUGCAUAAAGAAACAACAGGCUAAGAGAGUCUCCUGAGAAAAGCUGGGCUUGUGAGAUAACCAGCCCUACUCGGAGAAGCUUUGGAAAAAGAAAAACAAAAACUCAACUUUACAACUGUAUAUCUGGACCAAACACCUGAGGGACUGUCGGUAAAUCCUUUACUAUAUGACACUGCCCAUGCCUGGAAAUGAGGGAUAGCGUAUACUCCAAGGAACAACAUCUCUUGUAGGGUUUCACUUCCUGAAAAGCUACUGAAGAAAAAAACCAUUGAAGUCAUGGGACAAAGGGCUAUUCCUCUGAGUUAAAUAACAAUGUCCCCUGGAGGGAGAAUUCCACUUCUUCUGCCAACCAGCAACCCUGCUGGCAGCUGUGUUUGAGAAAAGCGUGCCUAUCAACUAAUGAUGCCUAACCCCUCUCCUGGCUCCUGAAUGGAGAGUCUGUGUUGGUGGUAUUGAUACCCACCAUUAACAAAAACUUCGCUUACUUUCAAAAAUGUAGAUCCUUUUAUGAAUUCUUCAUCAUAACAAAGGCAAUGGUUUCCCAUUUUUGUCUUAAUUGUAUGUUUGCCCAAAUUUGAUGGAUCAUGUUUUGGUUUUUAUAUAAUUUUCUUUUUCCAGAUUUCCAUUUAGGGUCCUCAGGCUGAAACUAGGCAUAUCCCAUGGCCCAGGCUGGUUGGACACAACUAAAUCUACAUAAAUCUCCAUUGAGUCUCCGAGGAGAUUCGAUGAGAAAAUAUUUUAGGAAACAGCGUUAUGAGUCUCUGUGCUCAGUGAUAUUUAAGUUGGCUGACCAUUUCAAUUUUGGAAAUUAUAGUCCAUUAACAUGAAAAAAAGGCAAUUACAUGUUUGUAUAUUUCUACCUAUGCUUGUGCUUUUUGCAAAUGUUUAUAAAGAGUGGCAUGAUAAAAUAAAAUAAUUUUGUGUUUGC